GUGCUUAACACAUGCAAGUCGAACGGAAAGGCCCAGCUUGCUGGGUACUCGAGUGGCGAACGGGUGAGUAACACGUGGGUGAUCUGCCCUGCACUCUGGGAUAAGCCUGGGAAACUGGGUCUAAUACCGGAUAUGACCAACUGUCGCAUGGUGGUUGGUGGAAAGCUUUUGCGGUGUGGGAUGGGCCCGCGGCCUAUCAGCUUGUUGGUGGGGUAAUGGCCUACCAAGGCGACGACGGGUAGCCGACCUGAGAGGGUGAUCGGCCACACUGGGACUGAGACACGGCCCAAACUUCUACGGGAGGCAGCAGUGGGGAAUAUUGCACAAUGGGCGCAAGCCUGAUGCAGCGACGCCGCGUGAGGGAUGACGGCCUUCGGGUUGUAAACCUCUUUCACCAGGGACGAAGCGUGAGUGACGGUACCUGGAGAAGAAGCACCGGCCAACUACGUGCCAGCAGCCGCGGUAAUACGUAGGGUGCGAGCGUUGUCCGGAAUUA
Molecule: ribosomal RNA, 496 nt
Filed under: earthworm cast bacterium NC10
Lineage: Bacteria
Description: bacterial SSU rRNA
Rfam family: Bacterial small subunit ribosomal RNA
Source: RNAcentral